AGUGAACGCUGGCGGUAGGCCUAACACAUGCAAGUCGAACGGCAGCACAGUAAGAGCUUGCUCUUACGGGUGGCGAGUGGCGGACGGGUGAGGAAUACAUCGGAAUCUACUUUUUCGUGGGGGAUAACGUAGGGAAACUUACGCUAAUACCGCAUACGACCUACGGGUGAAAGCAGGGGAUCUUCGGACCUUGCGCGAUUGAAAGAGCCGAUGUCGGAUUAGCUAGUUGGCGGGGUAAAGGCCCACCAAGGCGACGAUCCGUAGCUGGUCUGAGGGGAUGAUCAGCCAAACUGGAACUGAGACACGGUCCAGACUCCUACGGGAGGCAGCAGUGGGGAAUAUUGGACAAUGGGCGCAAGCCUGAUCCAGCCAUACCGCGUGGGUGAAGAAGGCCUUCGGGUUGUAAAGCCCUUUUGUUGGGAAAGAAAAGCAGCAGGUUAAUACCCCGCUGUUCUGACGGUACCCAAAGAAUAAGCACCGGCUAACUUCGUG
Molecule: ribosomal RNA, 492 nt
Filed under: uncultured bacterium
Lineage: Bacteria
Description: partial 16S ribosomal RNA
Rfam family: Bacterial small subunit ribosomal RNA
Source: RNAcentral